CACCUAUAAUCGUUUUAAUCGAUGGGGGGACGCAGUAGGAUAGGCGAAGCGUGCGAUUGGAUUGCACGUCUAAGCAGUAAGGCUGAGUAUUAGGCAAAUCCGGUACUCGUUAAGGCUGAGCUGUGAUGGGGAGAAGACAUUGUGUCUUCGAGUCGUUGAUUUCACACUGCCGAGAAAAGCCUCUAGAUAGAAAAUAGGUGCCCGUACCGCAAACCGACAC
This 220-nucleotide ribosomal RNA is filed under the name Staphylococcus aureus. RNAcentral describes it as "partial 23S ribosomal RNA". It matches the Rfam family "Bacterial large subunit ribosomal RNA", at positions 1443 to 1660 of the family's 2925-position model. Lineage: Bacteria; Bacillati; Bacillota; Bacilli; Caryophanales; Staphylococcaceae. The record is from RNAcentral.